GUGGGUUCAGUGAGACCCGGAAGUUUGCCCCGGAAAAUGAGCCCAAGGUUUCACACCUGUUUUUAAAUGAAAUCGCUUUUUCAUGAAAAGCACAUCUCUGGGACGCCCCGAACUUUCCUGGAUGGUUGUGUGGGAUCCCGCUGGGUCCCCAUGAUUUGCAGUCUAGGAGAGGGGCCUGGGAAUCUGUAUUCUUAAGUAUCCAGGUGAUUCUCCUGAGAGGGAAAUCUGAAGGGAAACCCUGUUUUGUGCUGGGGUCCCAGGAGCCCCAUUUGGAACUAGAGCUUCACAGCCAUCCAGUUCCGGUGUUCCGGUGCAUCACGCUGCCCUCUCGCCCUUUGUGAAUCUGCAGGUGUUUGCGGCUUUGUGCGGAGAAGACGAUGGCACCCCACUUCAGUACUCUUGCCUGGAAAAUCCCAUGGACGGAGGAGCCUGACUCUUCUUCCUAAGCUCCUGUUUAUUAAGCUGACUCUGCUGGGUGCUGAGGAAACAGCCUGGAAUAAGACCCCAGGGAGGAUUUACUCCUCUCUGGCAAGUGG
Bos taurus (domestic cattle) is the source of this 536-nucleotide long non-coding RNA. The record is from Ensembl. Lineage: Eukaryota; Metazoa; Chordata; Mammalia; Artiodactyla; Bovidae.